This 434-nucleotide ribosomal RNA is filed under the name uncultured bacterium. RNAcentral describes it as "bacterial SSU rRNA". It matches the Rfam family "Bacterial small subunit ribosomal RNA", at positions 957 to 1391 of the family's 1533-position model. The record is from RNAcentral.
GAACGCGAAGAACCUUACCUACCCUUGACAUCCUGCGAAUCCCGAUGAGAGUUGGGAGUGCCGCAAGGAACGCAGAGACAGGUGCUGCAUGGCUGUCGUCAGCUCGUGUUGUGAGAUGUUGGGUUAAGUCCCGUAACGAGCGCAACCCUUGUCCUUAGUUGCCAUCAUUUAGUUGGGGACUCUAAGGAGACUGCCGGUGAUGAACCGGAGGAAGGCGGGGACGACAUCAAGUCAUCAUGGCCUUUAUGGGUAGGGCUACACACGUGCUACAAUGGGGCGUACAGAGGGUCGCCAACCCGCGAGGGGGAGCCAAUCUCUUAAAGCGUCUCGUAGUCCGGAUCGGAGCCUGCAACUCGACUCCGUGAAGUCGGAAUCGCUAGUAAUCGCGAAUCAGCAUUGUCGCGGUGAAUACGUUCCCGGGUCUUGUACACACC